Molecule: ribosomal RNA, 550 nt
Filed under: uncultured bacterium
Lineage: Bacteria
Description: bacterial SSU rRNA
Rfam family: Bacterial small subunit ribosomal RNA
Source: RNAcentral
UAGGGAAUCUUCCACAAUGGGCGCAAGCCUGAUGGAGCAACACCGCGUGAGUGAAGAAGGGUUUCGGCUCGUAAAGCUCUGUUGUUAAAGAAGAACACGUAUGAGAGUAACUGUUCAUACGUUGACGGUAUUUAACCAGAAAGUCGCGGCUAACUACGUGCCAGCAGCCGCGGUAAUACGUAGGUGGCAAGCGUUAUCCGGAUUUAUUGGGCGUAAAGAGAGUGCAGGCGGUUUUCUAAGUCUGAUGUGAAAGCCUUCGGCUUAACCGGAGAAGUGCAUCGGAAACUGGAUAACUUGAGUGCAGAAGAGGGUAGUGGAACUCCAUGUGUAGCGGUGGAAUGCGUAGAUAUAUGGAAGAACACCAGUGGCGAAGGCGGCUACCUGGUCUGCAACUGACGCUGAGACUCGAAAGCAUGGGUAGCGAACAGGAUUAGAUACCCUGGUAGUCCAUGCCGUAAACGAUGAGUGCUAGGUGUUGGAGGGUUUCCGCCCUUCAGUGCCGGAGCUAACGCAUUAAGCACUCCGCCUGGGGAGUACGACCGCAAGGUUG